UGAGUUACUUCUGGCGAUCUGGUUCUGAGUUAUUCCUGGAAAUCUGGCUAGCAUUCUGAUCUAUCUUUUAUGAAUGAUUGUAUUAUGUUUUAAUGUUUGUAUAAUUGAAUUAGCUGUUUGGGGACAGAGUUUUUCAGUGACCAUAGCAAACUCCCUUUAGAAGUUAACCUUAUGAAGUUCUUCUGACUAUGAAGAAAAGAGACACUGUUCCCUCUAGGCUUCUGGGACGUUCCCAGGAAAAGAGAAGAGGCGAGAAGAGGAGACAAGCUGAGAAGAGAGGAGAGAACAGGAGAGGGACAGAAUGACGUUGUGUGUUGAAGUACAAUUGUGUUUUGGCUCCAAUGGCCUUGAAAAAGUUUUUUUCAGUUUUGUUACAAACCCAUCAUGCCAUCUGCAGGGAACUGGUUAAAUGGACUUGGCACAUCCACACAAAGGAGUAUUUUGCAACCUUAGAAAGAGAGGAAUGUUUACAACUACUUAUAGAAGCUGUGGGUCCUUCCAGUUGUGCCAUGUGGGAUGCCGAAUAAGAAUCUAUCUUAAAGUCACCUGUUUGUUCCCUGACCUAAGUUUAGAAAUCUACUUCAUGAAGCCAUCCACAUCUGCACUGGAAUAUUACUAGAAUUUGUUAGUUGUAAGUCUCAUUGGCUGGGACUGGUAAUGUCAGUUUCUUCUGAGAAGAACAGUGCCAAAGAUUCUUAAUGAGUAAUUUUGAUCUGGAAGAAAAUUCGUUGUUAUAACAUAAGGGAUUUUAUUAGAUUAAACAGAAAAAAAUACAAAGAAGUAUAAGGUACUAUAUUUUGUAAAGAUCAAAUGUUCUUGAAUAUCCUUUGUUAAAUAAAUCGUGUCAGUAAAAAUCAUUGUGCUAAAUCAUAAGAAAUUAAAUAUGAAUUGGCCAGCAAAACAGAUGUAGGUUAACAAGAUGGCUGGACACACAGGCAUGAGAAGAGAAAGUGUUUAGUUUUUAUAUUCUCGUCACUGAGAAAGAGUGGAAAUGGAAUGGAAUUGGAGUGGGCAAUGAUGGAGAUACUAUGGGAAAAAUUUGUGCAUAAACGUUAAGAAGUCUAGUCUGUCAUUUCACACCCUUUUAUCGUUUCAAUUUUCUUUGAGAUCCACUCUGUCUUUCCUGUCUUAUCUCCAUUAUAUAAGGAGAAAAGCUGCCUUGGAAAAGGUAGAGCUGUAACUUUCAGAAAUGCACUGUAAUUGGCAGCAGUUGUGCCAGCCUGCUAUGAAAAGAAAGCCCAUGAACGAGGUAUUUCAAAUCAACUGCAACAACAAAAAGAAAAGAAAUGAAUAUUUACCCUUGUAAUCAGUUAAAAUUAAAAGGUUCCUGGUUUUUAGCCAUAAAAUAAAAAGGAAUAAAGAAAAAGUAGAUUUGAAUAUAUAAAGUUUGUAUUUAAAUACAGCAAGCAAAACCCCGACAGAAAAACGGGCAAAUAAUGUGAAAAUAUAUUUAAAUAAACAGUAUGAACAUAAAUGCAUACUCAAUAUGUUUACACAACAAAGAACACAAGUUUUCCCUUCGGUAGUUGGCAAGAGUCAAAAUAAGAGGAUUUGAAACAUGAAAGGGGCAGUAUCAAGCCCCUUUUUGCCACAGCACAGCAACCCCGACUCGCCCCACAACCAGAGCCCAGAACCGGGAUAAGCAGGCGGAGGAAGCGGAAGGCGCGAGCGCAUUUGGGGAUUGUAGUCCACCGAGCUACCACGGGGGAUGCGAGCCGGCCUGAGUCAUCGAAGCGAGAGACGCUGUGCAGCGGUAGCGGAAGGAAAAGCUCGGCAGGGUCGCGGCGCGACUGGGGAACUGAGCCCGCGUGUGCGCACGCGCCAAGAAGAGCGCACUGCGCAUGCUCCCUGGCCAGUUGAAAGUCCCGUAACUACCCGUUCUCCGCGUUUUCCCCGCUUGAGACCCAUCCUGGGUCUUGAGAGAGCGGCGCGUUAUUGUUGUUCAGGGGAUUGUCAAAGUGUAAGGUGAAGAGAGACUAAUAAGCCAAGUUCAAAACAACUUUAUAAGAUCUUUACUAUCCGCAGAAGGCGAAUGUCGCUGUGACGUGACGCAUUAGUCUUGAGCUCCUAGAGGCCGGGGUGCGUCCUACUGACCUGUCCCCAGAACAGCCUUUUCCAGCCACUUCCACUCCCAGAGCCUCCUUGCACCUCAGGCCAUGUCGUCAGGAGUCCCCAGCCCUCUGUAGAGCCUCCGGGGCGUCUGUCAGCGGGCAGAGCCUGCUAGGACCCUCCUGUCAAGGCCAUUUGCUGGAGCCUCAGUGGAGGAGACUGGGCUGUUAAUUUCCGAAUCUGAAAUGACCAGAGCUGUGACCCUUUAUUUUGUAGAGUAAGCACUCAUCAUUUGGCAGGUGAAGAGAGAGUGAAUGUUGGUCCUCAGAGUAAAUUUCCCCCCACGUAGUGUUGUCUCUGCAUGCACAUUCCCUGUGCUAAGGGAAAACGCAGAUUCUAGAGAGUGGGGGAGGAGGAAGCACCCUAAGCAGCAAGAAUAGAUUCUGAGAGGAAACCCCUCUGACCUGAGACCUCUUUCAACAAAUUCAAGUGAGAACCUGGAGAGUUUGGGAAGAGAGAAGACUUUGGAACUCCCGGGUUUGCAUUCUCCCAGGACUUUCUGGCCCAGAAAGAGGGUGACUUGGGAGGAGUUACCACAACCACACAGAGAGUGACAGAGGGAGACAGUAGAGGGAGCUUAAGCCAAAAGGUUGAGUCAAGAGGUGGCAGUUACGGAAGAGUCGAGGGUGGGAAAGGAGCAACAGACCUUUUUGGGUGGGUAAGAGAGAAAACAAUGGCUCAGGUAAGGGGGCUGAUGUCUCGGUGGAGUCAAAUGUUCACUUCCUUCCUGAAGCCUGGACUGCCUGAUGUGGGCUAGUCUGCUCACUGUGGCUUCUUUCUUCCCCACUUGCUCUCUGUCUUCUCCACACUUUCCCCAGAGAAGGAGACCCUGACCCAGUUCCAGAUGAGUUGAUUUUUUUUCUCCUGAAAUUCUAAUUAGUCAGAGUUGUCUGAUCUUUGCUCCUGUUUAGAAAAGAGAAACUAGAUGAGCAUUUAUUGAGCGUCUAAUGUCUGUCAGUUACUUUUAGACGCUUUAGUGGUUCCUGUAUUUAUAUCUCAGAGGACCUGCAAACAUAUGUGAGUAUUUCCAUUAUGAGGGUGAGGAAAAUCUCUCAGAGAUAACAAAGGAAGUGUUCAUGGUCACAAAGUGUUAAAUUAUAAUUAGUAAUCAUUUUCUGGGAAAAUAUUUUGAGGCUAUGUAAAUCUCUUGUUGUUUGUCAAAAUUUCAUUCAAUACCUAUAACACUCAUUGAUGAUUCCUGCAUAAACCAGUCAUUACUACAAUAGCUGAAAAAUGGUGAUGUUGCAACUGUAUUACUUUUUGUUUUUAUGUUUCUCUUUUUUUAUGUAAUGAAGAGCUUUCCCUGCUACUUCAUUUAUUCAUAUAUUUAUAUCCGGAGAAAGUCAUGGAUCUUUAUUUUGCUCAAUGUGUCAUUCUUGAAUAAAUUAUCAUUUUUGAUUUUCAUGCUGAAAUUAUCUAGAUUUGUGCUGUAAGAG
Long non-coding RNA from Equus caballus (horse), 3545 nucleotides. The record is from Ensembl. NCBI's taxonomy places the organism in Eukaryota, Metazoa, Chordata, Mammalia, Perissodactyla, Equidae.